AGGAGGCGGCCCGCUCCCGCCCAGGGCCGCCGGGGGGUCUGGGAGCUUCGCCGCACCCCCCUACACCACCUCUGGCGGGUAUGGGAGUGCGGGUAGCGAUAAGUGAGCGGCGUCAGGGGAUGCGCGUUUUCUUACGUCUUGGGUUGCCGGUUAACGGAGUAUUUCUCCUGCUGUUUCACAUCCUAGACUUGGUAUGAGCAAGCACAGAUGUGUCUUUUGUGCAAGAGAGGGAAGGAAGAGAGAGCCAAAUGAAAAAUCCUGAAUGACAACAUCUCCAAGUAUCACAGCAGUACCUUCUAAAGCUGGAAGAUAAAGCUGAUGAGGUGGUUACCAUGGCUACAGAAGCGGCAUAUUUGAAUGAAAAUUGAUUUUAAGCUUUUAAAUGCUAAUUGCAUCUGUGAACAGGUGACAUUUGAAAUAUAUUUUUCUUCUCCCCCUCCCCCACACACCCCCUCAUAUUUUGCAGAGUAUAAUGAGUGAAAGAAGAGGGUGACAAAGGUGACAACACAGAGUUAAAUUAAAACACUGAUACAGUCUUUGACACUUAAGUAUGUCACGCCAUUUGCUUGUGCAGCAAUAAAAGUAAUAAGCAAACACAUAUAUAGAUCACAGUGUCUGAGGAGCAGAAACUGUAUCUAUAACCCAAGUAAUAUAUUUUUCAUGAUAUUGUAAAAAAUUAAACAGCCUUAUUCCAAUUAAUCACUAGGGCAAUUGUUUUUGGUAGCUCAUAAUAAAGAGGCUGUUAAAACUUAGCAUUCAGAAACUACUAUAAAUUCUCAGUGAUGAGGAAAUUUUGCAGAUGCCUGAAAUUAGAAGCAUUUCUUAUUUCACUUUGUACAUAAGGAAAUAAAGUUGAAUUUCUACAGUGGUAGACUCAGACUACAGAACAAAGAUGCUGUGUAGACCAGUGUCACUGAGCAACUGCUGCUAAUUGCUGUCACACUACUGUCUGACCACACUUAGGCUUCAGCUGUAGAAGACAUAGAAAGUGUAAUUUACCUAACUGUAAGCAUAGUUUUAAUAUGAUCUCUAAGCUUUUUAACUUGCUGUGGGUUACAUUCCACUUGUUAAUGCCUGCUUUUUGAAGCUUCUCUUGAUAUGAUUUCUAUGUAAGAUGUGAUCAGUUGUAAUGCAAAUAUAUAUUUUGUUACCAAAUAUAUAUUUAUAUAUGUAUUGUAAAUCUUUGAGGGUUUUCAGAUUACUUUAGGUUUGUUUUGUGUUUGUUUGUUUGUUUUUCCACUUUUUAAAUAUACAACAUGAGAAAUGUAGUGGUUGAGUCUGUAUUCUGCUUAGUUACAAUGGACACCGUAACAGCCUUCAUUAAGGAGGCUAAAUUUUUGUUUCAGAGUUACUGCUAAUGAACACUAUGAAAGAAAUUUAGAAAUACCAUUAAAGGACAAAGUCUUUUAUUUUUUCUGCCAUAUUUACAGAAUACUAAAUAAAGUGUUUUUCUUAUGUAACAUUCAAAA
Molecule: long non-coding RNA, 1469 nt
Organism: Coturnix japonica (Japanese quail)
Lineage: Eukaryota; Metazoa; Chordata; Aves; Galliformes; Phasianidae
Source: RefSeq, a predicted model, not a curated record